RNAcentral lists this ribosomal RNA (963 nucleotides) under Triticum aestivum (bread wheat). RNAcentral's name for it is "partial small subunit ribosomal RNA". The record is from RNAcentral. Lineage: Eukaryota; Viridiplantae; Streptophyta; Magnoliopsida; Poales; Poaceae.
AUGGCAGCAGCUCAAAGCGAGAGCAACCAUACCAGCAUCGUGGAGGAAGGAGAGAGCCAUGUUGCAGAGGUGCGAGGAGGCUGGGUCCUGUAUCAAGGCUGUUGGCUGAGAUCCCACAACGUGCAAAGCGUCAUGCUCGUGCAAGAGCGCUUCAAGGCUCGCCCCGACGACACCUUCCUUGUCACGUUCCCAAAGUGCGGCACCACCUGGCUAAAGGCCCUCGCAUUCACGGUCACAAACCGUUUCCGCCACGCCGCCACCAGCGAGGACCACCCGCUGCUCACCCAGCACCCUCAAGACCUAGUGUCGUUUCUCGAGAUGCCCUACCGCCAGCUACACCCUCUCGCUGAUCUUGAGAAGCUCGCCUCACCUAGGCUUCUUGCCACCCACAUGCCGAUCACACUGCUACCUCCGUGUGUGUCUAACCUCGGUUGUCGUGUUGUGUACCUGUGCCGCAAUCCCAAGGACGUGUUCGUGUCCUUAUGGCACUUCACCAACAAGGUAGGCGCGGACUACACCACACCCAUGGAUCAGGCAUUUGAGUUGUUUUCUGACGGGGUAUCCCCGUACGGGCCUAUCUGGGAACACAAUCUUGGGUUCUGGAAGAAAUACACGGCGGAGAGCGACAAUGUUCUUUUCUUGAAGUAUGAUGAUAUGAUGGCCGAACCGGUCAAGCACGUCAAGAUGCUCGCCAAGUUCCUCUGUGCCCCCUUCACCGAGCAGGAAGUGAGCUACGGAGUCGUGGAGGAUGUCGUGCACCUGUGUAGCUUUGAUAAGCUCAAGAGCAUACCAAUCAACUCAUCGGGAGAAACUGAUAGGAUUGGUGGGCUGCCAAUGGCUAAUUCUUCCUACUUUAGGACCGGGAAGGUUGGUGACUGGGCAAACCAUUUGACGGAAGAGAUGUCGAAGAAGCUGGAUGACAUCGUUGAGGAGAAGCUGAGAGGGUCAGGUCUCACAUUUUGA